Molecule: non-coding RNA, 1099 nt
Organism: Cherax quadricarinatus
Lineage: Eukaryota; Metazoa; Arthropoda; Malacostraca; Decapoda; Parastacidae
Source: RefSeq, a predicted model, not a curated record
UUUAGCAAGGGACAGCGGAGAUCAUUUUAAAAUAUUAGAAGAAUUUGUAGGAUGAGGGUGAUGAGGUGGUGAGGGCGGCGUCACUCGUCCACUCUCACCGCUGCUGCUUCUCUGACGACAUCACUCUGCACGCUCCUCACACCUACGCUCUAAUAUUGAUGUGUGGUGCAGAGAAGUUAUGAGAACUAGGGGAAGCCAUUUUAAAAGUUUGAGCAAAAUGUUUCUGAAAUGGGUCUCUUCUAAGUGCUGUACUGUUCUGAGUUUGUCCCUGUCUGGGAUGUGCAAGGAUGGUUGAAGAAUCAUUAAGACCCCCUAGUGCAGAAACUAGAUAAUAAACUGCUUGGAUAAACAAGGCUGCUGCUCUUCCUUAGAGACCCUAAAACCAUCCUGCAUAUUAAAAAGGUAAUUGGUAUAGCCCUUGCAAAAAAGUAGCUUAUAACAAUGAUUGAUGAUGAUCUUCAAAUUUAUUAGGAGGGUGAAGUUGGAGCAUGGAAUCUGGUCAUUCAACCCUGAUUGCCUCUUACACCAAAGUGUGAUGUGAGGGUUUAGUGCCCUCACUUCAAAUCCACACUUCUAGUUUGGAAGGGAAAUCUGCAUGGAAUCUGGUCAUUCAACCCUGAUUGCCUCCUACACCAAAGUGUGAUGUGAGGGUUUAGUGCCCUGAGCAACAUCUUUUAGGGUUGCUGAAGCUUCAAAUCCACACUUCUAAUUUGGGAAGAAGGGUAGAGCAUGGAAUCCCAUUGGACAACCCAAUGGUUGGUUCAACCUUGAUUACCUCUUAACCUCCCAGAAUGUGAUAUAAGGAUUUAGCAACCCCCUGCUUGAUAAUCUUUCAGGCUUUGAAAAAUCUUCAGAUUAACAUUUCUGCUGUGGCAAGCAGUACCAAGCUUUACAAUGUUAAAGCUCCUAUCAAACAUUAAGGAAGGCCCUAGACAAGGAGCUGAUAAAGGAAUGUUCUUCCCUCGAUUGGACCCAAUAGCCUCUCAUGCCUUAGGUAAGAGGCGGUUCUGAGCUUUACGUUUAUCAAUCUGGUUUCAUCCCAUCUUCUAAUCUUCCAGAGUUUUUAAUGUAAAAAAAUUUAAAUAAAAUGUCUACUGUA